CCCCCCCUCUCCUCAGAGAUUCUCCCAACCAAACCCUAAGCGCCGCCCUUAUUUCCCACCGCCACCGGUGGCGGCGCCACUACAAACCGACUCCAAACUAACAUUAGAGAACCCCCUCACUCCCCUCUUCCUAAAUCCUCACUCUGUUCCAUUCGAAUAUGCUUAGAACUCCUCAAAUAUUAAAUCUAGGGUUCGAACUCUAGAAGCCAAAGCCAAGUUCAUUCAUGCAAGGCUACUUCUCCAGUAUUCAUGAGUGUUAGGGUGCCGAUUUUACCACAAAAUAACAUUAGUCGCAUGUUCUUGACAAAGAACAGGCGAUUGAUAUUAUAUUGGGGCUUUAAUCGGAGAGGCAGUCAUGAGUGCGAGCCGAGUCGGUACACUUCUGUAUUCUACCCCCAUGUGAAGCUUGAAUUGAAGAGUGAAAUGAAAAAAAAACAGAGCUCAAAACAUUUUUCUAGUCUCUUUUUAUGAGUUCAAUUCUAUAUUUUUGGUUGUCUGGUAGUUUAUAGUUUAGUCCAUUGCUUUCUUAGUUAAUCUCUGCUUUGGCUGUUGAAACUUGUUCUUUUUCUUGUAUUAAUUUGGGACUAUUGAGAUGCUGUAGAUAAAAGAUGCAGUCAAGAGGCAUGUUGGUUUAAGUUUUCUUUGAUUUUUAGUUAGACAUUUCAAUGUUAUAUUGUUUGGUAGCAGUUCUCAUGAUAAAACUAGUUGCAAGGAGACUAAGGAUAAAAUGAUGAGGUGUAGUAUGCUAUUUGAAUAGGUAAUAUGAGGUGUUAUUUUGAUGUGAAUGACAUGUCCUGUGGUGAAUGACUAUAAACCCCUGUUGAGAAUA
Non-coding RNA from Nicotiana tabacum (common tobacco), 829 nucleotides. NCBI's taxonomy places the organism in Eukaryota, Viridiplantae, Streptophyta, Magnoliopsida, Solanales, Solanaceae. The record is from RefSeq and is a predicted model, not a curated record.